CAUUAAGUGGCUGAAAUUUAAGCAUUGGUCUCUUAAACCAAUAAAUAGUAAUUUUAAACUUACUCUUAAUGA
This 72-nucleotide transfer RNA is filed under the name Dalsira scabrata. Its description in RNAcentral is "tRNA-Lys". It matches the Rfam family "tRNA". From Rfam's summary of the family: Transfer RNA (tRNA) molecules are approximately 80 nucleotides in length. Their secondary structure includes four short double-helical elements and three loops (D, anti-codon, and T loops). Further hydrogen bonds mediate the characteristic L-shaped molecular structure. tRNAs have two regions of fundamental functional importance: the anti-codon, which is responsible for specific mRNA codon recognition, and the 3' end, to which the tRNAs corresponding amino acid is attached (by aminoacyl-tRNA synthetases). tRNAs cope with the degeneracy of the genetic code in two manners: having more than one tRNA (with a specific anti-codon) for a particular amino acid; and 'wobble' base-pairing, i.e. permitting non-standard base-pairing at the 3rd anti-codon position. The record is from RNAcentral. Lineage: Eukaryota; Metazoa; Arthropoda; Insecta; Hemiptera; Pentatomidae.